Molecule: ribosomal RNA, 256 nt
Filed under: uncultured bacterium
Lineage: Bacteria
Description: partial 16S ribosomal RNA
Rfam family: Bacterial small subunit ribosomal RNA
Source: RNAcentral
UAACACGUAGGAGGCUAACGUUAUCCGGAUUUACUGGGCGUAAAGCGCGUGCAGGCUGUUCGGUAAGUUGGGCGUGAAAGCUCCCGGCUCAACUGGGAGACGUCGUUCAAUACUGUCGGACUAGAGGAUGGUAGAGGGAGGUGGAAUUCCGGGUGUAGUGGUGAAAUGCGCAGAUAUCCGGAGGAACACCAGUGGCGAAAGCGGCCUCCUGGACCAUUCCUGACGCUCAGACGCGAAAGCUAGGGUAGCGAACGGG